GAUGAACGCUGGCGGCGUGCCUAGUACAUGCGAGUCGAGCGAACAGACGAGGAGCUUGCUCCUCUGACGUUAGCGGCGGACGGGUGAGUAACACGUGGAUAACCUACCUAUAAGACUGGGAUAACUUCGGGAAACCGGAGCUAAUACCGGAUAAUAUAUUGAACCGCAUGGUUCAAUAGUGAAAGACGGUUUUGCUGUCACUUAUAGAUGGAUCCGCGCCGCAUUAGCUAGUUGGUAAGGUAACGGCUUACCAAGGCAACGAUGCGUAGCCGACCUGAGAGGGUGAUCGGCCACACUGGAACUGAGACACGGUCCAGACUCCUACGGGAGGCAGCAGUAGGGAAUCUUCCGCAAUGGGCGAAAGCUUGACGGAGCAACGCCGCGUGAGUGAUGAAGGUCUUCGGAUCGUAAAACUCUGUUAUUAGGGAAGAACAAAUGUGUAAGUAACUAUGCACGUCUUGACGGUACCUAAUCAGAAAGCCACGGCUAACUACGUG
This 497-nucleotide ribosomal RNA is filed under the name uncultured bacterium. RNAcentral describes it as "partial 16S ribosomal RNA". It matches the Rfam family "Bacterial small subunit ribosomal RNA", at positions 28 to 507 of the family's 1533-position model. The record is from RNAcentral.